Molecule: long non-coding RNA, 209 nt
Filed under: Gossypium barbadense (sea-island cotton)
Lineage: Eukaryota; Viridiplantae; Streptophyta; Magnoliopsida; Malvales; Malvaceae
Description: long non-coding RNA (GBAR_LNC010564)
Source: RNAcentral
UAAAAUUGGUAGAAAAUGAAAACCUAUUAAAUUCCGCAUUAAGGUGGGUAACAACAUUAUGGAAUUUAGGCUAAAUGGGCCUAGAUGACAAAAUUGGCUAAGUAGGGCCCAUUAAGGGUUUUGGGCCCAAUAACUCGGUUUCGCUAAAAAUGGGCCAUAAUUGCUGUUUAAAAUAUAAAAAUGGUUAGUAACUAAUAAUAAACAUGGAA